Molecule: ribosomal RNA, 95 nt
Filed under: uncultured bacterium
Lineage: Bacteria
Description: partial 16S ribosomal RNA
Rfam family: Bacterial small subunit ribosomal RNA
Source: RNAcentral
CACUGCCCGUCACACCAUGGGAGUUUGUUGCACCAGAAGCAGGUAGCCUAACCGCAAGGGGGGCGCUUGCCACGGUGUGGCCGAUGACUGGGGUG